AUGGCAUUCUACUCAGAUCAUCAUGCUUAUGCGAGCAACAGUACAAACAACACUGAACGUAUUCAAGAACUGAUAAGUAAGAUUUCCCAUCGAUUAGAUGAUUUAGCUCGGCAGCGAGAAGUAGUUUUUGAGGAUAUGCCUACCUCUUAUGAUCCUUAUUCUAGAGGCCAUCCUUAUGUUGCUCCUACCUGCCAUAUUUGUGGAUUUCAGGGCCAUUCACCCGCUGAAUGUCAGCGUGGUUACUCUCACCCUCCAGAUUGUUUUGGCAUGAGCUUUGCUCAAGAGCAUAGCUCAUACCAAAACAAUACACACAUGGGUGGCCUGAAAACCAGAAUAUCUCAUAUAGGAGCAACAACCCUGAGAUCUCACCAUUUGCUUCUAGUAAUCAUAUCCAGGGAUUUAUGUAUGAAGAGGAGAGCAACAACUAUGCACCACAACAAUUUUAUUCACCUCCUACUCAUAUACCUCAACACCACGAGAUAUUGCCAAUGGAGUUAA
RNAcentral lists this ribosomal RNA (498 nucleotides) under Triticum aestivum (bread wheat). RNAcentral describes it as "partial small subunit ribosomal RNA". Lineage: Eukaryota; Viridiplantae; Streptophyta; Magnoliopsida; Poales; Poaceae. The record is from RNAcentral.